CCCGCUGAACUUAAGCAUAUCAAUAAGCGGAGGAAAAGAAACUAACAAGGAUUCCCCUAGUAACUGCGAGUGAAGCGGGAAGAGCUCAAAUUUAAAAUCUGGCGGUUCCGCCGUCCGAGUUGUAUUCUGGAGAAGCGUUUUCCGUGCCGGACCGUGUACAAGUCCCUUGGAACAGGGCGUCGUAGAGGGUGAGAAUCCCGUCUUUGACACGGACCCCCGGUGCUUUGCGAUGCGCUCUCGAAGAGUCGAGUUGUUUGGGAAUGCAGCUCAAAACGGGUGGUAAAUUCCAUCUAAAGCUAAAUAUUGGCGAGAGACCGAUAGCGAACAAGUACCGUGAGGGAAAGAUGAAAAGAACUUUGGAAAGAGAGUUAAACAGUACGUGAAAUUGCUGAAAGGGAAACGCUUGAAGUCAGUCGCGUUGUCCGGGGAUCAACCUUGCUUUUGCUGGGCGUACUUCCCGGUUGACGGGUCAGCAUCAAUUUUGACCGUUGGAUAAAGUCUAGGGGAAUGUGGCAUCUUCGGAUGUGUUAUAGCCCUUGGUCGCAUACAACGGUUGGGAUUGAGGAACUCAGCACGCCGCAAGGCCGGGUAUUCGUACCACGUUCGUGCUUAGGAUGCUGGCAUAAUGGCUUUAAUCGACCCGUCUUGAAACACGG
This 656-nucleotide ribosomal RNA is filed under the name uncultured fungus. RNAcentral's name for it is "eukaryotic LSU rRNA". It matches the Rfam family "Eukaryotic large subunit ribosomal RNA", at positions 24 to 664 of the family's 3401-position model. The record is from RNAcentral. Lineage: Eukaryota; Fungi.